ACUUAAUUGAACUUUCUGUUCCAGCUGGAAAAGGUUAUGGAUCUAGCGAGUGCAAACGGAAGGCAGGAUGAAAAGGUGGGGUACUGCAUUCAUGGGCCCCUUCCUCACACAGAGUGUGCAUGGCAGAGAGAAUCCAGGAAGAAAAGGCAAAUAUUUCUCGUGAGAAACUCCUGGUGCUGCAAAGGCAGCUCAGGAGGAGACUGGGAAAGCUGUCAGCACAGCUGCACAAGGAAGAUAAAGAGACAGGAACCACUGCCUGAGCAUAUCUACAACACAUCAAACAUCACCGAGUCAAUCAAAGCACCAUUAAUCCAUUGGACUCUGACCCUUCCUCUCGGAUGCUGCCAGAUCCAUCAGUUGGGGAUCAGAGGGAGAAAAGCAGGUUCUGGUCACCAGGAGAGCUAAACAAGAGCCUCUUCCAGCUCCCUGCCCUGCCUGGGAAUCUGGGCAGGCAGCUCAGUGCAUUUAGGCCACCCAAAAGUGUUGUUUAAAUGGGAUUUUAAGGAAUGAUGGCUUUGCCACUGGAGGAAUCAAGGCACAAAAAGUGCUGCUAGUACAAAAUCCUGUAGCACUGCUUUCCCUUCUCUUGCCUCCUCCAUCCCAGCAGUGUUCCACAGCUAGGAAUGUGAUCCCUGGGGGGAAAAAAACACCAGAUGACCAACAAAACAAAACAGACUCAAUAGUCAUUCAGCUUUACUUGAAUUUGGAGAGAAACAAUCAAGAGCCAGACACGCAAUUCCUAAAGAAAUGAGGGAAUAUCUGUGAGUUUUCUCUGCACCCUCUCCCUUGGGAUCAUUUUAAUAACUUCAGCUGAGAGCUGUGAUCUGUGCACGCCAGGGGAAAGGCUGCCCAUGCCUCAGACAGCUGGAUUCCAGCCCUUGCUGAGGAAUAAAAAUGCCAUUUUCCAAGAGAAGAUGUUGUCU
This 923-nucleotide long non-coding RNA is filed under the name Cyanistes caeruleus (blue tit). RNAcentral's name for it is "lncRNA (ENSCCEG00000024108.1)". The record is from RNAcentral. Lineage: Eukaryota; Metazoa; Chordata; Aves; Passeriformes; Paridae.